GAUGAACGCUGGCGGCGUGCCUAAUACAUGCAAGUCGAGCGAACGGACGAGAAGCUUGCUUCUCUGAUGUUAGCGGCGGACGGGUGGGUAACACGUGGAUAACCUACCUAUAAGACUGGGAUAACUUCGGGAAACCGGAGCUAAUACCGGAUAAUAUUUUGAACCGCAUGGUUCAAAAGUGAAAGACGGUCUUGCUGUCACUUAUAGAUGGAUCCGCGCUGCAUUAGCUAGUUGGUAAGGUAACGGCUUACCAAGGCAACGAUGCAUAGCCGACCUGAGAGGGUGAUCGGCCACACUGGAACUGAGACACGGUCCAGACUCCUACGGGAGGCAGCAGUAGGGAAUCUUCCGCAAUGGGCGAAAGCCUGACGGAGCAACGCCGCGUGAGUGAUGAAGGUCUUCGGAUCGUAAAACUCUGUUAUUAGGGAAGAACAUAUGUGUAAGUAACUGUGCACAUCUUGACGGUACCUAAUCAGAAAGCCACGGCUAACUACGUGCCAGCAGCCGCGGUAAUACGUAGGUGGCAAGCGUUAUCCGGAAUUAUUGGGCGUAAAGCGCGCGUAGGCGGUUUUUUAAGUCUGAUGUGAAAGCCCACGGCUCAACCGUGGAGGGUCAUUGGAAACUGAAAAACUUGAGUGCAGAAGAGGAAAGUGGAAUUCCAUGUGUAGCGGUGAAAUGCGCAGAGAUAUGGAGGAACACCAGUGGCGAAGGCGACUUUCUGGUCUGUAACUGACGCUGAUGUGCGAAAGCGUGGGGAUCAAACAGGAUUAGAUACCCUGGUAGUCCACGCCGUAAACGAUGAGUGCUAAGUGUUAGGGGGUUUCCGCCCCCUUAGUGCUGCAGCUAACGCAUUAAGCACUCCGCCUGGGGAGUACGACCGCAAGGUUGAAACUCAAAGGAAUUGACGGGGACCCGCACAAGCGGUGGAGCAUGUGGUUUAAUUCGAAGCAACGCGAAGAACCUUACCAAAUCUUGACAUCCUUUGACAACUCUAGAGAUAGAGCCUUCCCCUUCGGGGGACAAAGUGACAGGUGGUGCAUGGUUGUCGUCAGCUCGUGUCGUGAGAUGUUGGGUUAAGUCCCGCAACGAGCGCAGCCCUUAAGCUUAGUUGCCAUCAUUAAGUUGGGCACUCUAAGUUGACUGCCGGUGACAAACCGGAGGAAGGUGGGGAUGACGUCAAAUCAUCAUGCCCCUUAUGAUUUGGGCUACACACGUGCUACAAUGGACAAUACAAAGGGCAGCGAAACCGCGAGGUCGAGCAAAUCCCAUAAAGUUGUUCUCAGUUCGGAUUGUAGUCUGCAACUCGACUACAUGAAGCUGGAAUCGCUAGUAAUCGUAGAUCAGCAUGCUACGGUGAAUACGUUCCCGGGUCU
RNAcentral lists this ribosomal RNA (1373 nucleotides) under uncultured bacterium. Its description in RNAcentral is "bacterial SSU rRNA". It matches the Rfam family "Bacterial small subunit ribosomal RNA", at positions 28 to 1381 of the family's 1533-position model. The record is from RNAcentral.